Molecule: ribosomal RNA, 1208 nt
Filed under: metagenome
Description: SSU rRNA
Rfam family: Eukaryotic small subunit ribosomal RNA
Source: RNAcentral
AGUCUGGUGCCAGCAGCCGCGGUAAUUCCAGCUCCAAUAGCGUAUAUUAAAGUUGUUGCAGUUAAAAAGCUCGUAGUUGGAUUUCUGGUAUGAUGCAUUUGUCCCGGCUAGAAAUAGAUCGUGUGACUUUGUGCGUCUACCAUCCUUCGCUACAGAUGUGCUGGCGUGUAAAAGCGUUAGCAGCUGUUGUGAUCUUUUACUUUGAAAAAAUUAGAGUGUUUAAAGCAGGCUUGUGCCUUGAAUACAUUAGCAUGGAAUAAUAAUAUAGGACUGGGUUCCUAUUUUGUUGGUUUUCUGGAAUCGAGUAAUGAUUGAUAGGGAUAGUUGGGGGUGCUAGUAUUCAGCGGCCAGAGGUGAAAUUCUUUGAUUCGCUGAAGACUAACUUAUGCGAAAGCAUUCACCAAGGAUGUCUUCUUUAAUCAUAACGAAAGUUGGGGGAUCGAAGACGAUCAGAUACCGUCGUAGUCUCAACCAUAAACUAUACCGACUAGGGAUUAGUGGAAGUUGCUUUUCGACUCCAUUAGCACCUUAUGAGAAAUCAUAAGUCCUUGGGUUCUGGGGGGAGUAUGGUCGCAAGGCUGAAACUUAAAGGAAUUGACGGAAGGGCACCACCAGGAGUGGAGCCUGCGGCUUAAUUUGACCCAACACGGGGAAACUUACCAGGUCCAGACACAGGGAGGAUUGACAGAUUGAAGUUCUUUCUUGAUUCUGUGGGUGGUGGUGCAUGGCCGUUCUUAGUUGGUGGAGUGAUUUGUCUGGUUUUUUCCGUUAACGAACGAGACCUCGACCUGCUAAAUAGUAUGGAGUACUCCGGUACUUACAUGCUUCUUAGAGGGACUGACGGUGGUGAGCCGUAGGAAGUUCGAGGCAAUAACAGGUCUGUGAUGCCCUUAGAUGUUCUGGGCCGCACGCGCGCUACACUGAUACGUUCAUCGAGCAUACAACCUGGGUUGAGAGACUUGGGUAAUCUUUUCAAAGCGUAUCGUGCUGGGGAUAGAUCAUUGUAAUUAUUGAUCUUCAACGAGGAAUUCCUAGUAAGCGCGAGUCAUCAGCUCGCACUGAUUACGUCCCUGCCCUUUGUACACACCGCCCGUCGCUGCUACCGAUUGAAUGCAUUAGUGAGCUCCACGGACCGCUGUAUUUGUUCGCAAGGGCUUAUAUGGUGAAAUGUGGCGCAAACUUGCGCAUUUAGAGGAAGCAAAAGUCGU